AUUGAACGCUGGCGGCAUGCCUUACACAUGCAAGUCGAACGGCAGCACGGGUGCUUGCACCUGGUGGCGAGUGGCGAACGGGUGGGUAAUACAUCGGAACAUGUCCUGAAGUGGGGGAUAGCCCGGCGAAAGCCGGAUUAAUACCGCAUACGAUCUACGGAUGAAAGCGGGGGACCUUCGGGCCUCGCGCUAUAGGGUUGGCCGAUGGCUGAUUAGCUAGUUGGUGGGGUAAAGGCCUACCAAGGCGACGAUCAGUAGCUGGUCUGAGAGGACGACCAGCCACACUGGGACUGAGACACGGCCCAGACUCCUACGGGAGGCAGCAGUGGGGAAUUUUGGACAAUGGGCGAAAGCCUGAUCCAGCAAUGCCGCGUGUGUGAAGAAGGCCUUCGGGUUGUAAAGCACUUUUGUCCGGAAAGAAAUCCUUGGCCCUAAUACGGUCGGGGGAUGACGGUACCGGAAGAAUAAGCACCGGCUAACUACGUG
Molecule: ribosomal RNA, 486 nt
Filed under: uncultured bacterium
Lineage: Bacteria
Description: partial 16S ribosomal RNA
Rfam family: Bacterial small subunit ribosomal RNA
Source: RNAcentral